CUUAACACAUGCAAGUCGUACGAGAACUCUUUAGCUUGCUAAAGAAAGUAAAGUGGCGCACGGGUGAGUAACGCGUGGGUAAUCUACCUUCGAAUCUGGGAUAACAUUGCGAAAGCGAUGCUAAUACCGGAUAAUAUCUCAAAAUCGUCAGGUUUUGAGAUCAAAAAUGGCCUCUACAUGUAAGCUGUUGUUUGGAGAUGAGCCCGCGUACCAUUAGCUUGUUGGUAGGGUAAUGGCCUACCAAGGCAACGAUGGUUAGCUGGUCUGAGAGGAUGAUCAGCCACACUGGAACUGACACACGGUCCAGACUCCUACGGGAGGCAGCAGUGAGGAAUUUUGCGCAAUGGGGGAAACCCUGACGCAGCAACGCCGCGUGAGUGAUGAAGGCCCUCGGGUCGUAAAGCUCUGUCAAGUGGGAAGAAAAUGUAAAAUGUUAAUACCAUUUUUCACUGACGGUACCACUGAAGGAAGCACCGGCUAACUCCGUGCCAGCAGCCGCGGUAAUACGGAGGGUGCAAGCGUUAUUCGGAAUUAUUGGGCGUAAAGGGCGCGUAGGCGGCCUUUUAAGUCAGAUGUGAAAGCCCGGGGCUUAACCCCGGAAGUGCAUUUGAAACUAAAGGGCUUGAGUAUGGGAGAGGGAAGUGGAAUUCCUGGUGUAGCGGUGAAAUGCGUAGAUAUCAGGAGGAACACCGGUGGCGAAGGCGACUUCCUGGACCAAUACUGACGCUAAGGCGCGAAGGCGUGGGUAGCAAACAGGAUUAGAUACCCUGGUAGUCCACGCAGUAAACGGUGAACACUAGGUGUAGCGGGUAUUGACCCCUGCUGUGCCGCAGCUAACGCAUUAAGUGUUCCGCCUGGGGAGUACGGUCGCAAGAUUAAAACUCAAAGGAAUUGACGGGGGCCCGCACAAGCGGUGGA
This 918-nucleotide ribosomal RNA is filed under the name uncultured bacterium. RNAcentral's name for it is "bacterial SSU rRNA". It matches the Rfam family "Bacterial small subunit ribosomal RNA", at positions 47 to 936 of the family's 1533-position model. The record is from RNAcentral.